GUUCCUACGGGGGGCAGCAGUGAGGAAUAUUGGUCAAUGGACGAGAGUCUGAACCAGCCAAGUAGCGUGAAGGAUGACUGCCCUAUGGGUUGUAAACUUCUUUUAUAUGGGAAUAAAACGUUCCACGUGUGGGAUUUUGUAUGUACCAUAUGAAUAAGGAUCGGCUAACUCCGUGCCAGCAGCCGCGGUAAUACGGAGGAUCCGAGCGUUAUCCGGAUUUAUUGGGUUUAAAGGGUGCGUAGGCGGAAUAUCAAGUCAGCGGUAAAAAUUCGGGGCUCAACCCCGUCGUGCCGUUGAAACUGAUG
RNAcentral lists this ribosomal RNA (305 nucleotides) under uncultured bacterium. RNAcentral describes it as "bacterial SSU rRNA". It matches the Rfam family "Bacterial small subunit ribosomal RNA", at positions 335 to 638 of the family's 1533-position model. The record is from RNAcentral.